CCUACGGGAGGCUGCAGUGGGGAAUAUUGCACAAUGGGCGCAAGCCUGAUGCAGCCAUGCCGCGUGUGUGAAGAAGGCCUUCGGGUUGUAAAGCACUUUCAGCGGGGAGGAAGGCGGUGAGGUUAAUAACCUCAUCGAUUGACGUUACCCGCAGAAGAAGCACCGGCUAACUCCGUGCCAGCAGCCGCGGUAAUACGGAGGGUGCAAGCGUUAAUCGGAAUUACUGGGCGUAAAGCGCACGCAGGCGGUCUGUCAAGUCGGAUGUGAAAUCCCCGGGCUCAACCUGGGAACUGCAUUCGAAACUGGCAGGCUAGAGUCGUGUAGAGGGGGGUAGAAUUCCAGGUGUGGCGGUGAAAUGCGUAGAGAUCUGGAGGAAUACCGGUGGCGAAGGCGGCCCCCUGGACAAAGACUGACGCUCAGGUGCGAAAGCGUGGGGAGCAAACAGGAUUAGAUACCCUAGUAGUC
This 465-nucleotide ribosomal RNA is filed under the name uncultured Klebsiella sp. RNAcentral's name for it is "bacterial SSU rRNA". It matches the Rfam family "Bacterial small subunit ribosomal RNA", at positions 338 to 795 of the family's 1533-position model. The record is from RNAcentral. Lineage: Bacteria; Pseudomonadati; Pseudomonadota; Gammaproteobacteria; Enterobacterales; Enterobacteriaceae.